This 759-nucleotide ribosomal RNA is filed under the name uncultured cyanobacterium. Its description in RNAcentral is "bacterial SSU rRNA". It matches the Rfam family "Bacterial small subunit ribosomal RNA", at positions 28 to 829 of the family's 1533-position model. The record is from RNAcentral. Lineage: Bacteria; Bacillati; Cyanobacteriota.
GAUGAACGCUGGCGGUAUGCUUAACACAUGCAAGUCGAACGAAAGUCUUCGGAUUUUAGUGGCGGACGGGUGAGUAACGCGUGAGGAUCUGCCUAUAGGUUGGGGACAACAGAUGGAAACGUCUGCUAAUACCCAAUGUGCCGAGAGGUGAAAGCUUUAGUGCCUGUAGAUGAGCUCGCGUCCGAUUAGCUAGUUGGUAAGGUAAAGGCUUACCAAGGCGACGAUCGGUAGCUGGUCUGAGAGGAUGAUCAGCCACACUGGGACUGAGACACGGCCCAGACUCCUACGGGAGGCAGCAGUGGGGAAUUUUCCGCAAUGGGCGAAAGCCUGACGGAGCAAUACCGCGUGCGGGACGAAGGCUUUUGGGUCGUAAACCGCUUUUGUUAGGGAAGAACACAAUGACGGUACCUAACGAAUCAGCAUCGGCUAACUCCGUGCCAGCAGCCGCGGUAAUACGGGGGAUGCAAGCGUUAUCCGGAAUUAUUGGGCGUAAAGCGUCCGCAGGUGGUUUAUCAAGUCUGCUGUCAAAUCGUAGGGCUUAACCCUAUAAAGGCAGUGGAAACUGAGAGACUAGAGUACGGUAGGGGUAGCGGGAAUUCCCAGUGUAGCGGUGAAAUGCGUAGAUAUUGGGAAGAACACCAGCGGCGAAGGCGCGCUACUGGGCCGAAACUGACACUCAUGGACGAAAGCUAGGGGAGCGAAAGGGAUUAGAUACCCCUGUAGUCCUAGCUGUAAACGAUGACAACUAGGUGUUGCGCG